Molecule: small RNA, 133 nt
Filed under: Klebsiella aerogenes
Lineage: Bacteria; Pseudomonadati; Pseudomonadota; Gammaproteobacteria; Enterobacterales; Enterobacteriaceae
Description: RtT sRNA
Rfam family: RtT RNA
About the family: This family represents a bacterial cis-regulatory element known as RtT RNA. The exact function of RtT is unknown although it is thought that it may be involved in changing the cellular response in relation to amino acid starvation.
Source: RNAcentral
UAUUCUGCCCUGCGGGGAAGGAUGAGAAGCUUCGACUAAGGUUCGACUCGAGCGCCAGCGAGAGAACGUUGCCGCAGGCAACGGCCCGAAGGGCGAGGAGCGAUAGCGCCGAGUAAUCCUUCCCCCACCACCA